GGUUAAGUUAGAAAGGGCGCACGGUGGAUGCCUUGGCACUAGGAGCCGAAGAAGGACGGGACUAACACCGAUAUGCUUUGGGGAGCUGUACGUAAGCGUUGAUCCA
Molecule: ribosomal RNA, 106 nt
Filed under: Listeria monocytogenes
Lineage: Bacteria; Bacillati; Bacillota; Bacilli; Caryophanales; Listeriaceae
Description: partial 23S ribosomal RNA
Rfam family: Bacterial large subunit ribosomal RNA
Source: RNAcentral